AGAAAAUAAAAAAUAUAUUUGCGAGUCCAUCGUUGCAUAUUAAUUAUGCCCUCCCCGCCAUCAAAAGGUACUCAAGUGCACACUUCUGUAGACGAUCCAAAGUUGAUCAGUUCUACCCAGACAGCACUUGGCAAAGCACACUCGCACUUGUUCAACAUGAUUCACUUAUUAUUGGAUUGGCAUUAAUGAAGUAUUUAUUUUGGCGGUUCAAAGAACAAGAGAAUUUACUCUCGUCAUCAUGCGUCGAUAUUAAAUUAUUUCUCAAAGUUCAUUCCAUUCUUAAUUUGGUUUUUCUGAAUGAGAAAGUGGC
RNAcentral lists this long non-coding RNA (310 nucleotides) under Drosophila guanche. Lineage: Eukaryota; Metazoa; Arthropoda; Insecta; Diptera; Drosophilidae. The record is from RNAcentral.